CCCUUAGAUGUCCGGGGCCGCACGCGCGCUACACUGAUGAAUUCAACGAGCACUAACCUGUGCCGAAAGGUUCGGGUAAUCUUGUGAAAUUUCAUCGUGAUGGGGAUUGAUUAUUGCAAUUUUUAAUCAUAAACGAGGAAUGCCUAGUAAGCGUGAGUCAUCAGCUCACGUUGAUUACGUCCCUGCCCUUUGUACACACCGCCCGUCGCUCCUACCGAUUGAAUGUGCCAGUGAAAAGUUCGGAUUGGAGAUAGGAAACGGCAACGUAUCCUAUUUCCGAGAAAAUCUUUAAACUUUCCCAUUUAGAGGAAGGAGAAGUCGUAACA
This 326-nucleotide ribosomal RNA is filed under the name uncultured eukaryote. RNAcentral's name for it is "partial 18S ribosomal RNA". It matches the Rfam family "Eukaryotic small subunit ribosomal RNA", at positions 1470 to 1796 of the family's 1831-position model. The record is from RNAcentral.